AAGUCGUAACAAGGUUUCCGUAGGUGAACCUGCGGAAGGAUCAUUAAUGAAUGUUGGAAUUUGACACCUCUUCCACCGACGAAACCUGAUGGCGAGAAACGGGCAUGAAUUUGCCACGUCUUGCACAUUGGAGUGAGUCGAGGGGAGAGGUUCAAAUAACAAAAUCCAAUACCCACACCUCUUUGUGAAACAUACCCAUGUCAUUUGGCGAGAUUAGUUUGUUUUUCCCGACAGGAGCAAUCUUGAAUGGAAGUGCAAACCCUCGCCAACCAUAUCCAACACACACCCAACCCAUAUUGUAAAUUGACUGAAACACUGUUGAUGCGUUCAUGUCACCCUCACCGGUGGGAUGGGUGCAAAGACAAAACCAAAAAACCAAAAGAAAUUACAACUUUUAACAACGGAUCUCUUGGCUCUU
RNAcentral lists this unclassified non-coding RNA (418 nucleotides) under fungal sp. Its description in RNAcentral is "partial internal transcribed spacer region". The stretch from base 1 to 46 matches the Rfam family "Eukaryotic small subunit ribosomal RNA", at positions 1786 to 1831 of the family's 1831-position model. The record is from RNAcentral. Lineage: Eukaryota; Fungi.